CCCUUAGAUGUUCUGGGCUGCACGCGCGCUACACUGAUGCAUUCAACGAGUGUUUAUCCUUGCCCGAUAGGGUUGGGUAAUCUUGUUAACGUGCAUCGUGAUGGGGAUAGACUCUUGCAAUUAUUAGUCUUGAACGAGGAAUUCCUAGUAAAUGCGAGUCAUCAGCUCGUAUUGAUUACGUCCCUGCCCUUUGUACACACCGCCCGUCGCUACUACCGAUUGAAUGGCUCAGUGAGGCCUUCGGACUGGCUUAGGGAGGUUGGCAACGACCACCCUGAGCCGGGAAGUUCGUCAAACUCGGUCAUUUAGAGGAAGUAAAAGUCGUAACA
Molecule: ribosomal RNA, 329 nt
Filed under: uncultured eukaryote
Lineage: Eukaryota
Description: partial 18S ribosomal RNA
Rfam family: Eukaryotic small subunit ribosomal RNA
Source: RNAcentral